Molecule: ribosomal RNA, 253 nt
Filed under: uncultured bacterium
Lineage: Bacteria
Description: partial 16S ribosomal RNA
Rfam family: Bacterial small subunit ribosomal RNA
Source: RNAcentral
GACGUAGGGGGCCAGCGUUGUUCGGAAUUACUGGGGGUAAAGGGUUCGUAGGCGGUGCGGCAAGUCGGGAGUGAAAUCUCUGGGCUUAACCCAGAGGCUGCUUCCGAAACUGCUGUGCUUGAGUGUGGGAGAGGCGCGUGGAAUUGCAGGUGUAGCGGUGAAAUGCGUAGAUAUCUGCAGGAACACCCGUGGCGAAAGCGGCGCGCUGGACCACUACUGACGCUGAGGAACGAAAGCUAGGGGAGCAAACAGG